AUGGAGGUCGAGGCGGGUGCGCAUGGUGACACCGCCGCGAGCAAGUUCACGCUGCCCGUGGACUCCGAGCACAAGGCCAAGUCCUUCAGGCUGUUCUCCUUCGCCAACCCGCACAUGCGCACAUUCCACCUCUCCUGGAUCUCCUUCUUCACGUGCUUCGUCUCCACCUUUGCCGCAGCACCGUUGGUGCCCAUCAUCCGCGACAACCUCAACCUCGCCAAGGCUGACAUCGGCAAUGCCGGUGUGGCAUCCGUGUCCGGGUCCAUCUUCUCCAGGCUUGCCAUGGGGGCCGUGUGCGAUCUACUCGGCCCGCGUUAUGGAUGUGCCUUCCUCGUCAUGCUCUCCGCGCCGACUGUAUUUUGCAUGGCAGUCAUCGAUGACGCAUCGGGGUAUAUCGCCGUUCGUUUCCUCAUCGGCUUCUCGCUCGCCACCUUUGUAUCAUGCCAGUAUUGGAUGAGCACAAUGUUCAACAGCAAGAUCAUCGGCACGGUCAACGGCCUAGCGGCUGGGUGGGGCAACAUGGGUGGUGGCGCCACACAGCUCAUCAUGCCACUCGUUUUCCAUGCCAUCCAAAAGUGUGGUGCCACGCCCUUUGUAGCAUGGAGAAUUGCCUACUUCGUGCCAGGAAUGAUGCACAUCGUGAUGGGCUUGCUCGUGCUCACCAUGGGGCAAGAUCUUCCUGACGGAAACCUUGCGAGCCUCCAGAAGAAGGGAGACAUGGCCAAGGACAAGUUCUCCAAGGUCCUUUGGGGUGCCGUCACCAACUACAGGACAUGGAUCUUCGUCCUCCUUUACGGCUACUGUAUGGGCGUUGAGCUCACCACCGACAACGUCAUCGCCGAGUACUACUAUGACCACUUCCACCUAGACCUUCGCGCCGCCGGCACCAUCGCCGCCUGCUUCGGCAUGGCCAACAUUGUGGCGCGUCCUAUGGGUGGCUACCUCUCUGACCUUGGUGCUCGCUACUUCGGCAUGCGUGCUCGCCUUUGGAACAUCUGGAUCCUCCAGACCGCUGGUGGAGCUUUCUGCAUCUGGCUCGGUCGUGCAUCGGCCCUCCCAGCCUCAGUCACAGCUAUGGUCCUCUUCUCCAUUUGCGCGCAAGCUGCCUGUGGUGCUGUCUUUGGCGUCGCACCCUUUGUUUCCAGGCGUUCUCUUGGUAUCAUCUCCGGGCUGACCGGCGCGGGUGGCAACGUGGGUGCGGGGCUCACACAACUUCUCUUCUUCACUUCGUCACAAUACUCCACCGGUAGGGGUCUUGAGUACAUGGGCAUUAUGAUCAUGGCAUGCACGCUGCCUGUCACCCUCGUGCACUUCCCACAGUGGGGUUCCAUGUUCUUUCCAGCCAGCGCAGAUGCCACAGAGGAGGAGUACUAUGCCUCCGAGUGGUCCGAGGAGGAGAAGAACAAGGGUCUCCAUAUUGCCGGCCAAAAGUUUGCCGAGAACUCCCGCUCGGAGCGUGGCAGGCGCAAUGUCAUCCUUGCUACAUCCGCAACGCCACCCAACAACACGCCCCAACAUGUGUAG
Molecule: ribosomal RNA, 1524 nt
Filed under: Triticum aestivum (bread wheat)
Lineage: Eukaryota; Viridiplantae; Streptophyta; Magnoliopsida; Poales; Poaceae
Description: partial small subunit ribosomal RNA
Source: RNAcentral